CAGCCGCCGCGGGAAUACGUAGGGUGCGAGCGUUAAUCGGAAUUACUGGGCGUAAAGCGUGCGCAGGCGGUUGUAUAAGACAGGUGUGAAAUCCCCGGGCUUAACCUGGGAACUGCAUUUGAGACUGUAUGGCUAGAGUGUGUCAGAGGGGGGUAGAAUUCCACGUGUAGCAGUGAAAUGCGUAGAUAUGUGGAGGAAUACCGAUGGCGAAGGCAGCCCCCUGGGAUAACACUGACGCUCAUGCACGAAAGCGUGGGGAGCAAACAGGAUUAGAUACCCGCGUAGUCCCUGUCUCUUAUAC
This 301-nucleotide ribosomal RNA is filed under the name uncultured bacterium. Its description in RNAcentral is "partial 16S ribosomal RNA". It matches the Rfam family "Bacterial small subunit ribosomal RNA", at positions 509 to 807 of the family's 1533-position model. The record is from RNAcentral.